RNAcentral lists this ribosomal RNA (489 nucleotides) under uncultured bacterium. RNAcentral's name for it is "partial 16S ribosomal RNA". It matches the Rfam family "Bacterial small subunit ribosomal RNA", at positions 28 to 507 of the family's 1533-position model. The record is from RNAcentral.
GACGAACGCUGGCGGCGUGCUUAACACAUGCAAGUCGAACGGUGAAGGGACCAGCUUGCUGGUUCUGGAUGAGUGGCGAACGGGUGAGUAACACGUGAGUAACCUGCCCCCUUCUUCUGGAUAACCGCAUGAAAGUGUGGCUAAUACGGGAUAUUCUGGGUCUGUCGCAUGGCGGGCCCGGGAAAGAUAUUGCUUCGGUGGGGGAUGGGCUCGCGGCCUAUCAGCUUGUUGGUGGGGUGAUGGCCUACCAAGGCGGUGACGGGUAGCCGGCCUGAGAGGGUGGACGGUCACACUGGGACUGAGACACGGACCAGACUCCUACGGGAGGCAGCAGUGGGGAAUAUUGCACAAUGGGAGAAAGCCUGAUGCAGCGACGCCGCGUGAGGGAUGGAGGCCUUCGGGUUGUAAACCUCUUUCGCCAGUGAAGCAGGCCUGCUCCUUGUGGGUGGGUUGACGGUAGCUGGAUAAGAAGCGCCGGCUAACUACGUG